This 87-nucleotide ribosomal RNA is filed under the name Parabacteroides sp. The record is from RNAcentral. Lineage: Bacteria; Pseudomonadati; Bacteroidota; Bacteroidia; Bacteroidales; Tannerellaceae.
UCCACCUCUUCCCAUUCCGAACAGAGAAGUUAAGCCCACCCACGCCGAUGGUACUGCGUAUAGUGGGAGAGUAGGUAGCCGCCGUUU